Molecule: ribosomal RNA, 404 nt
Filed under: uncultured Oscillibacter sp.
Lineage: Bacteria; Bacillati; Bacillota; Clostridia; Eubacteriales; Oscillospiraceae
Description: bacterial SSU rRNA
Rfam family: Bacterial small subunit ribosomal RNA
Source: RNAcentral
GGGGAUAAUUGGGCAUUGACCGAAGGCUUACCCAGCAACCCCGCCGGGAGGGAGGAGGCCUUCGGGGUUGUAACCUCUUUUAAGGGGGGAGAGGAAGAGGCGGUUACCCCUUAAAUAGCCCCGGCUAAACUCCUUGCCAGCAGCCGCGGUAAUACGUAGGUGGCAAGGCGUUGUCCGGAUUUACUGGGUGUAAAGGGCGUGCAGCCGGGAAGGCAAGUCAGAUGUGAAAUCUGGGGGCUCAACCUCCAAACUGCAUUUGAAACUACUUUUCUUGAGUAUCGGAGAGGUAAUCGGAAUUCCUUGUGUAGCGGUGAAAUGCGUAGAUAUAAGGAAGAACACCAGUGGCGAAGGCGGAUUACUGGACGACAACUGACGGUGAGGCGCGAAAGCGUGGGGAGCAAACA